AUUGAACGCUGGCGGCAGGCCUAACACAUGCAAGUCGAGCGGAUGAAGGGAGCUUGCUCCUGGAUUCAGCGGCGGACGGGUGAGUAAUGCCUAGGAAUCUGCCUGGUAGUGGGGGAUAACGUCCGGAAACGGGCGCUAAUACCGCAUACGUCCUGAGGGAGAAAGUGGGGGAUCUUCGGACCUCACGCUAUCAGAUGAGCCUAGGUCGGAUUAGCUAGUUGGUGGGGUAAAGGCCUACCAAGGCGACGAUCCGUAACUGGUCUGAGAGGAUGAUCAGCCACACUGGAACUGAGACACGGUCCAGACUCCUACGGGAGGCAGCAGUGGGGAAUAUUGGACAAAGGGCGAAAGCCUGAUCCAGCCAUGCCGCGUGUGUGAAGAAGGUCUUCGGAUUGUAAAGCACUUUAAGUUGGGAGGAAGGGCAGUAAGUUAAUACCUUGCUGUUUUGACGUUACCAACAGAAUAAGCACCGGCUAACUUCGUG
RNAcentral lists this ribosomal RNA (484 nucleotides) under uncultured bacterium. Its description in RNAcentral is "partial 16S ribosomal RNA". It matches the Rfam family "Bacterial small subunit ribosomal RNA", at positions 30 to 507 of the family's 1533-position model. The record is from RNAcentral.